AACGUUCAGUACGCGUCUGUCAUUUCCAUUUGACUGUUAAACAAACUGGAGACUAUAGAGGCCAAGGGAAAACUUGCCCUCUGCCCUCAGGAGAUUCACGGAAAAUCAACUGACAAAGUAAGAGAAAAGGCAUACAGAUUUAUUCAUGCACACAGGGAGAACCAGAGUGAUGACCCCAACCUCCCAAUGGGGUUCGGAAGCUUAUAUACCAUCUUGAGGUUACAGAAAGAACAUGGGCUCAAAGUAUGGCCACAGUUUAUGGUGGAAAAUCAGGUGACCAGUGGCAAGACCGGUUACAGGAGGGAGAGCAGAGGAGGCCUGGCUAGCAAAGGUGGCCUUGUUCUACAGAUGAAACCUCACAGGUAGCAGCCCUGAGAGAGAACAGAUGGUGAAUGUUCCCUUCAGGCCUUUAAAGGCGUCAGACUGUUACUCUUCCCAGAUCAGGCAAGGAGGGCCUCAGAGGAGGCCUGGCCGCAUCAGUGUAGAUUCUCUCCACAGAUGCAAAUCUCCCCCACAAAAGACAGCUUUUCAGCUAUUCUUCUAUUUCCAGUCCUUCUGAGUAACUGUCUUGAACCGUGUCAAGGAAAUAUUUUUGUUGUUGUUGUUUGUUUGUUUUGAGGCAGAGUCUCACUCCGUCACCCAGGCUGGAGUGCAGUGGUGCAAUCUCAGCUCACUGCAACCUCCACCUACUGGGUUCAAGUGAUUCUCCUGCUUCAGCCUCCCUGGGAUUACAGGCAUGCACCACCAUGCCUGGCUAAUUUUUGUAUUUUUAGUAGAGACGGGGUCUCGCCAUGUUGGCCAGCCUGGUCUCAAACUCCUGACCUCAGGUGAUCUGCCCACCUCGGCCUCACGAAGUGCUGGGAUUACAGGCGUGAGUCACCAUGCCCAGCCAUGGAAAUACAUUUUGGGGCGAAAUAUUUUGGUUUCCUUCAGUCCCCACUUUGAGACUUUCAGAAAGUUGCCCAUAUAAAAAGAAAGUUGAUAGCUUUGAAGAGAUUUGAGUUAGAGGUUGUUAGAUAAGAGACAGGCAGAGGCGGGCAAAAAGAAAUUGGGAUAAGCAGAAAAAGACAAAUUUAAAUGUCAUCCUGGCAGGGCACAGUGGCUCAUGGCUGUAAAUCUCAGCACUUUGGGAAGCUGAGGCAGGAGGAGCACUUGAGCCCAGGUGUUCAGACCAGCCCGGGCAUCACAGGGAGACUCUAUUGCUACAAAAAAUAAAAAAUUAGCCAGGCAUGGUAGUUUGUGUCUGUGGUCCCAGCUACCUGGGAGGCUGAUGCAGCAGGAUGACCUGAGCCUGGGAAGUCAAGUCUGCAGAGAGCUGUGAUCACACCACUUUGUGGGUGAGUGAGUGAGACCCUGUCUCUGAAAAAUAGAUAUGUAUCAUGCCAUAUUUUCUUGAAUCCGUCUCUUAGUCCUGAGACUAGAUCAGCUCAGUUAAACAGCUGUAUCCUAUUCCAAGAAGUGGCAUUGCAGAUGGGCUGGGACCUCGUAUAUAAUUCACACAAACAGAUCUUUAACAAGAUACAAUUCUAUGGAAACAGAAGAAAAAAAACGGUGAAUGUCUGGUGUCAUCCAUAGACUAGCUUUUCUAGCUCUCCUCAAUCUGAGGCAUCUGGAGCAUCUUCAGAUUGCAAUGGCAAUUUGACAGAUUUUUCUGGAUUGUAGUUCUAAUUGGGUGUUCAAGUGAACUUUCUGAAUAGUCCAUAUAUCAACAGGCACAAAGGCUAUUUAUACAUAAGUCGCUGUGAUGAUUUCUCCUGAAGAUUAUAAGUAAUUUAGCUUCAGUUGCAGGGCUUCAAGAAAAGCCAUUUUAAUUUCCAGUGAUUUUAAAUCAGAAAAAUGGGAGAAAAACUGGAAAGCAUUAGUUUAGAGACUUGGAGCUAGGAAAGAAUGCAGGAUUCAGUUCAAACUAUAGGCAAAUGAUAACAACUCAAAAACAAGUCAGUCCGGACUCUCGUAACAGGUGUCAACAGUCAGUCCGGACUCUCGUGACAGGUGUCAACAGUCAGUCCGGACUCUAAUAACAGGUGUCAACAGUCAGUCUGGACUCUAAUAACAGGUAUACUAUAGUUUUCUUCUAAAACAUAUUUUUUCUCUCUCCAGUCUCCCUUUUCCACAAAAGACAAAUCAGAGUAAGAACAACUGAUUUACAAAAUAAGUUUUAGUCUUAUUAUAAUUGGCCUGAUUAUUUGCAUAAAGUACAGUAAUAAUAGUGACUGGCCAUUCAACCUCUUUUAAAGUUGGCUUUGCCAGAACUUUUUCAUAAGGAAUCUCAGAUUAGACUUUUAAAAGCAUCUUGAGGCCGGGCAUGGUGGCUCACGCCUGUAAUCCCAGCACUUUGGGAGGCCGAGGCGGGCGGAUCGUGGGCUCAGGAGAUCAAGACUAUCCUGGCUAACACAGUGAAACCCCAUCUCUACUAAAAAUACAAAGAAAAUCAGCCACGUGUGGUGGCGGGCGCCUGUAGUACCAGCUACUCAGGAGGCUAAGGCAGGAGAAUGGCAUGAACCCGGGAGACGGAGCUUGCAGUGAGCCAAGACCGCGCCACUACACUCCAGCCUGGGCGACAGAGCGAGAUCGGUCUCAAAAAAAAAAAACCAAAAACCAAAAAAAAAAAAAAAAAAAAAAAGUACUUGUCUGGGUACUUUACAUGAGUUUCCUUGAGGAAGAAGCAAGUCUUGAACUGUAGCUAAUUAUAAGCUGCUUUUUAAAAAGAAUCAAAGUAAAACAGUAAUUGACUGUGGAUGACAGAUGACUUAGACUAAUGAUGGUUACAGAUGCAAUUCACAAGGAGAUUUGUUUUUUUGUGUGACAUACAACAAUUUAACAUAAUAAUUAUAAUUUUGAGCCAGGCGUGGUGGCUCAUACCUGUAAUCCCUGCACUUUGGGAGACCAAGGCAGGAGGGCUGCUUGAGCUCAGGAGUUCGAGAUGAGCCUGGGUGGCACAGCAAGAUCCUGUCUCCAAAAUAAUAAAUAAAUAAAUAAAGACAGCAUGAGGCAAACUCUCUACUCCUCCUUUUUUUUUGUGAGACAGAGUCUCACUCUUGUUGCCCAGGCUGGAGUGCAGUGGCACAAUCUCAGCUCACUGCAACCUCCGCCUCCCGGGUUCAAGCGAUUCUCCUGCCUCGGCCUCCUGAGUAGCUGGGACUACAGGCAGGCGCCACCACGCCUGGCUAAUUUUUGUAUUUUUAGUAGAGAUGGGGUUUCACCAUCUUGGCCAGGCUAGUCUCAAACGCCUGACCUCAGGUGAUCCACCCACCUCGGCCUCCCAAAGUGCUGGGAUUACAGGUGUGAACCACCGUACCGGGCCUACUCCUCCUUUUCUUGUAGUUUACUCAAAAGGUAAACAAAAAUCUUUUACUGUCUCUUAUUAAUACUACAUGAAAAUCUUACUCAAAAAUGAAAACUAAAUUCUACCUUUACAUUAGCAUAUUAUUAAUACUAAAGCUAAUUUUAAUAAAAACUUAAAAACAGAUCCAUUCAAUCUCAAUCAGCUUUGACCACAUAAGAUUUCCAUAAACCUUUAAUAACCUCUUAAAAUUUGUUCCAUUCUUUGUUUCUCAAACUUUCUAUAUAUAUUCAGUUUUAUCUAUCAUUUUUUUAUUCCUUUAAUUUAAAACAACCUUUAAAAACAUCAAAACUAGACAAAAUUACUUUUCCUUUAACAAAAACCUCAUUCUCAUGCCUUCUUUAUAACCUUCCUUACCAAAAACACAUCCUACUUUCUUAUAAACUUUGCAUACAGAAGUGUUUCUCUUAUAUCUAGUAGUUUUAAAUACAUAUAUUAAUUACAAUGUUAACUCUUAGGAAGCCUAAUUUUCAGUGAAAAACAUGGGAAGUAAGCAAUUUUAAUUGUUAUUAAAGAUGCAAAGCCCAGGACAAAGGACAGAGCUUUAAAGACUGAUAUGGUUUGGCUGUGUCCCCACCCAAAUCUCAUCUUGAACUGUAGUUCCCAAAAUCCACAGGUGUUGUGGGAGGGACCCAGUGGGAGGUGAUUAGAUGAAGGGGGCGGUUCCCCCACGCUGUUUUUGUGCUAGUGAGUUCUCACGAGGUCUCAUGGUUUCAUGAGGUGCUUCCCCACUCUUCGCUCUGCACACCUCCUUCCUGACCUCAUGUGAAGAACGUGUUUGCUUCCUCUUCCGCCAUGAUUGUAAGUUUCCUGAGGCUUCCCAGCCACGCUGAACUGUGAGUCAAUUAAACCUCUUUCCUUUACAAAUCACCCAGUCUCAGGUAUGUCUUUAUUAGCAGUGUGAGAAUGGGCUACUACAAAGACAAUGCCUGGAGGACUCAACCCCUCCCAGCAUGACCGGGGGGCACAGCUGGGCCAGGGAGGACAAUGCUCGGGCACUGCAGACACACAGCAUGACCGGGGGGCACAGCUGGGCAAGAGAGGACAAUGCUCGGGCACUGCAGACACACAGCAUGGCUGGGGCGCACAGCUGGGCUAGGGAGGACGGGGCUCAGGCACUGCAGACACACAGUAUGGCCGGGGGGCACAGCUGGGCUAGGGAGGACGGGGCUCGGGCACUGCAGACAAACAGCAUGACCGGGGGGUACAGCUGGGCCAGGGAGGAUGGGGCUUAGGUACUGCGGACACACAGAUGUCUCCAGGCCACAUCAUGUCCACUUGUCUUGACCCCAGAAUGUAGAGGCUCAAAGCCAAAGACCUAAGUUCACAGACAAAUUAAGCAAGUAUCAGAAAUAUGACAGAAGCAAAUUUUAUGACCUUAAAGCAUCUAACAGAGACUGUCUGAACCUGUCCGACCAAUGGGCCCAAGCAAAGAUGUCUCAAUUAUAUUUAAGACUGACGACUUUGAAGAUAUUCUAAUUUUAGCAUCAUUUUUUUUUUUGAGAUGGAGUCUCACUCUGUCACCCAGGCUAGAGUGCAGUAGUGCAGUCUCGGCUCACUGCAACCUCUACCUCCCAGGUUCAAGUGAUUCUCCUGCCUCAGCCUCCUGAGUAGCUAGGACUACAGGCGCAUGCCACCACGCCUGGCUAAUUUUUGUAUUUUUAGUAGAGACGGGGUUUCACCAUGUUGGCCAGGAUGGUCUCGAUCUCUUGACCUCGUGAUUUGCCCGCCUCAGCCUCCCAAAGUGCUGGGAUUACAGGUGUGAGCCACUGCACCCAGCAGCAACAAUUUUAAAACUAAGUUUAUUUGCCAAAGAUUACUAGUCACAUGAACUAGAAAAGCAUCUGGGUUUAGUUACAUCAUUCAUGAGCACUUAUUUAUUUAUACGUCAAUUUGCUACUAUGUACAUAAUAUACAAACAGGCAUGUACACAUAAAAAUACAGACACAAAUCAAGAUUUUAUAGCUUUAGUUUUAAGAUUUUAGCCACGAAUCGGGUAAAAAUCACUAGUUUAAAAGGAUACUUAAAAUUGUGCCUCUGUAAAUGGAACAAGGUAAAAUUUAUCUGUCUCACACGGCCAAAGCCCUUACCAAGUUUUAGAGAAAACAAGGCAACAAAUUUACAUCUUGAAGCACAGAGAAAAAAAAAUUAUUUUUAUUUACUGAAUUUUUUCAAGACGGAGUCUUGCUCUGUCGCCCAGGUUGGAGUGCAACGGCACGAUCUUGACUCACUGCAACCUCUGCCUCCUUGGUUCAAGCAAUUCCACAGGGAGAAAGUUUAAGCUUUGAUUUAGUAUGUUAAAGGAAGAUUUUAAAUGGAUGCUGAGGUAACAAAAAGUCAUAGAAAUUCACCACAGGAUUUUAUAAGGACAACAAUGUUAUUUAAAUAUGUGGCUAUUAAUUUAUUCUCCAUUUUUGAACUAGACCACUGGGCUCAGGACAGAGCUCAUUAAUGAACAUGGCCAAAAAAGCAUUUGCAGUUUGGAGGACCUAAUAUUUAAAUAUGUGAAAAACAGGUGCAGCUGGAAGGCAGAGCAUCUAGAUCUUUUAAAAUCAAGGAUCCCACAUUUACACUGAAUGCUGAGUUCCCUCUAAAAAGAGAUAUAUAUGAGACAAAGCCAUACAGUGUUUCCACAGUGUACCUCACUAUGAAGACAUUCCCCUGAGGCUGGUGGGAGACCCACAGCAAUCAGCCCACGGAGUCUCAGCCUUUGACGCCAAGUGCUUCCAUAGUCUCCAAGUGUUCAGAUUGUGCCUUUCUCAUCUAAACAUGCAGAGAAACAAGCAGCCACUGCAGGAACAACCAUUCACUACAACUGCUUUCAGCCACCUCCAAAACUGUGAGGCAGCCCUCGCCAGUGACCUGCCGGCCAUCACACACACUCAGGUCAUGCACUGUCUCACAGUGCAACGUAAUCCCUGGUACCCCCAAAGCCAAAGAGAUCCAGUGACACAGUGCCAAAGACAGCCAAGCUUUAGACCCGAGAGGAAGCUACCCACGACUCCUCAGGCCCCAUAAGGAAGACAAAAGCGGGGCGCGUGGCACCUUUCUUUGCGUUCCCCAAGGGGUCUCUAAGUCAUCAGAAGUCCCUUGUAGAUCCCUUCAUUAGGUACCAAAGAUGGCAAAGGGGAUGGAGGAGCACGGAGGGGUAGAAGUAAAUGGGACUGCAAUCCUUAGAGGAGCCAAUUUGGAAAAAUGUUAAGGUUCUAAAAGGCCAAUACAAUUUUACAUUUUUCUCAUCAAAAUUAUACCAACAAAGGAACCAAACAGAAGGACCAAACACACAAUUUAAAGGGGUUUCAGUCACCUGAAAAAAAAAUUCCCAGAAACAGGGUCCAAAAGCAGAAAAGGCUGUAGAUACAUGGCUUGAAGAUCAGCUCACCUGUUUUUAAUUAAGCCAACUUCUGACCACAGAGCUCUUUUUUAAAAUCCUUUCAAAUAUCUUAUUAUCAGAUUUUAGCUGAGACCAACAGCUGAUAGCCAUGGCUUUGAGACCUUUUUUUUUAAAACCAAAGGUACCUCCCAAGUGACUCACCAAAACCAAUAAGCCUUAACUAAAGCUAUGGACUUAACCAAGGACACAUAAGCCAUCUCCAAAGAGGCGCAAAGCAGUCCUGAUGACAUCCAGAGCCACCCCAAAGAGCUCAAAGAAAGGAAAUCAAAAGCUGCCAGUGGAGGGGGAAAGGGUCAACAACAAAUGAGUUCCGCACAAAGUCAAAAGUUGGCUGGGUGCGUGGCUCACGCUGGUAAUCCCAGCACUUUGGGAGGCCGAGGCAGCCGGAUCACAAGGUCAGGAGUUCGAGACCAGCCUGGCCAACACGGUGAAACCCCAUGUCUACUAAAAAUACAAAAAAAAAAAAGAAAAAAAAAGAAAAUUAGCUGGGCGUGGUGGCUCACACCUGUAAUCCCAGCACUCUGGGAGGCCAAGGCGGGAGGAUCACGAGGUCAGGAGUUCGAGACCAGCCUGGCCAACAUGGUGAAACCCCAUCUCUACUAAAAAUACACACACACAAAAAAAUCAGCCGGGCGUGGUGGCUCACACCUGUAAUCCCAGCUACUCCAGAGGCUGAGGCAGGAGAAUUGCUUAAACCCAGGAGGCAGAGGGUGCAGUGAGCCAAGAUCAUGCCACUGCACUCCAGCCUGGGCGACAGAGCAAGACUCCGUCUCCAAAAAAAAAACAAAAGAAAGAAUUCAAAAGUCACACAAAUAUCAAACCAAAAGGGACUGGUUCCUCUAUUGGGAAUUGAACCCAGGCCAUGGUAGUGAAAGUACAGAAUUUUAAGUAGUUUCCAAGAUGCAGCAGUCUUCAUUGUGAAUCCUGCAGGGAUCCAAAGCAAUGGUUUGCGCGCACAAAGGAUUUUAACUUGUUACAGGUCAGAUUUUUGCUCUUUAAUUUUGUGAAGAGGAUUUCUAAGGCUAGCCACAACAUUAUUAUGUGUCUUUCCUUUAAUCUCCCCACAAAUACAAAUAAGGCAAUUGUUUAGAAUGAGAGACCUCUAAAAUCUUUUUUUUUUUUUAAUUUAGGGAUCUUUCUAAUGUAAAGGAUUCAUCUUUUGGCUAUUGACAAUCAGAAUUUCCAAUGAUGUAUUUAUUCCAAUAGCAACUCAAUCCAAGAAGCCCCUUCAUGGAAAGCCCAAAAGAUUAUUUUCCAGGUUUAGAGAGGGCAUAGAAGAGGAGGUUCCAAUGAUGCCCCCAAAAUUCACUCCCAGGAAUAGGCAAAGACAGCAAAAGACUCUUGUUCCCAGAGACAGUUAAGGAACGUGUUUGUACAUACAGUGCCUCCAGUAACACACAAUCUGUCAGGGGCUGCCAGUCACAGACCCAUUAACCUGUAACACAGGGUAGGCCUGUUGGGAUUGGGCUUUCUGAGGACUGACCAGGCAACAAACAUUGGGAUGACAAAAGCCCCUUAUGGAUGGGCCUGAGGAGAGCAAAAACCACCUGGCGACCAUCAAACAUCAAACAGGCCCUCCGAGGCAAAACUCCUUAUCUGGGGAAAAUCAAAAGUAACUAAACCUCCCUAUUAUCUAAAGCAGGCAUCUGGUUCCAGAUUUCUUCCCCCAAAAAACGUGUAAGUAACUAUAAUUUCUAUGUGUCUCCAGAAUACCAUGACGAAACUCACUGUACAACCGUCGCUGACAUUAAGGCACCAAAAUUACUAUAAAUGUAAUCAUUUAUCAUGACUUACGUGGCUAAUAUGGUCCAAAUUACUGUUAAGCCUCCACUUUAAGGCCUAUAAAUGCCCUUAAGGAGAAAUCCACCCGGCGUACUCAGUCCUCUUGCUGAGGCACCUCAUUGCACUCUUCUGCAGCAUUCUAAUAAACUUUCUUUCUUUUCUUUUUUUUUCUUUUUUUUUUUUUUGAGAUGGAGUUUCACUCUUGUUGCCCAGGCUGGAGUGCAAUGGUAUGAUCUCAGCUCACCACAACCUCCAUCUCCCAGGUUCAAGCGAUUCUCCUGCCUCAGCCUCCCAAGUAGCUGGGAAUACAGGCUCCCGACACCAUGCCCAGCUAAUUUUUUGUAUUUUUAGUAGAGAUGGGGUUUCAUCAUGUUGGCCAGGCUGGUCUUGAACUCCUGCCCUCAGGUGAUCCACCUGCCUCAGCAUCCCAAAGUGCUGGGAUUACAGGCGUGAGCCACCGUGCCCGGCAAACUUUCUUUUUUCUUUUUUUUUUUGAGACAGUCUUGCUCUGUCUCAGCUCACUGCAACCUCCGCCUCCCAGGUUCAAGCAAUUCUCCUGCCUCAGCCUUCCAAGUAGCUGGGAUUACAGCCACGCACCACCACACCUGGCUAAGUUUUAUACUUUCAGUAGAGACAGGGUUUCUCCAUGUUGGCCAGGCUGGUCUCAAACUCCUGACCUCAGGUGAUCCACCCACCUUGGACUUCCAAAGUGCUGAGAGUACAAGCAUGAGCCACUAUGCCCGGCCAAACUUUCCUUUUUCAAACCUAUUGUCGGUAAACUCUUUUUACCAACCCGCAAGUUGACCACCACUCCCAGUGCCGGGGCUCUGACAGCUCGCCUGGCAGGGACUUCUUAAGACAAACUAAAAGCUUGACACAUUCAGAACAAAAACGGUGCUGCUUAAAAUAUUAAAUGUCUUGGGUUCCCAACCAUUUUCAGACUGACCACAAAAUGUGACCUGCGAGUCACUACCUCGGAUUGGCAGAGGCCAAGAGAGUGCUCCUGAGGUAGGAGGUGGGACUUAGUUGACCCAGUUGAGGAUUGGCUAAAACAGGGUUGGGGCAAUAGCAGCUUUCAGUCAGAUAUGCCCGCCACUGUGCCAUGUCAGUUUACCAUUGCCAUGGCAACACCCAGGAGUUGCCACCCCUUUCCAUGGCAAUGACCCAAUGAUGACUACUCCUUCCCUAGAAACUUCUGCAUAAACCAUCCUUUAAUCUACAUGCAAUCAAAAGUGCGUAUAAAUGUGACUGCAAAACUGCCCUGAGCUGCUACUCUCAGCCUACGGGGUGGCCCUGCUCUGCAGGAGCAGUCACAGAGCUCUAACGCCACCUGUUCAAUAAAGCUGUUUUCUUCUACCUCUGGCUUGUCUUUGAAUUCUUUCCUGGGCAAAGCCAAAACCCUCACUGGCUAAGCUCCACUCUGGGGUCUGCCUGGCCUGCAUCAUUCCCACUCGCUCACAACUCAAGCUUUCAAGGACAUCAAAAGAGAGGAGAAUCUCAUCCAGUUUUCAGUUCAGGGACCCACAGCAAAGUCUGUCUAACUAGACGCAUCCGAUCAGAGCUGCAAAACUGACUAGCCUGCAGGACGGCCCCAAGACGGGGUUUACAGGGGUUUUAGGCCUGUGUUCUACCCUCUUUAUGACAGAAAAACACAGAAAGACAAGAAUGAAAGACGACUAUUUCUGGGGAAAAAAAGCAAUCAAACAAUAUGAAUACAAAACUAAUCACAUAAAUACAUUUCUCUCAUUAAAACUUUGAAGAGGAAAACAAGGUAAACAGACAUUUUUACCGUCGGCUUGACAAGAUUCCAGAGAGGCCGGGAGCCUGGCUGCUAAGACCUUCUUACCCUUCUUUCUGCCAGCUUGUCGGCUCCUGGGUUCCCCUGACGGAGGCUCCCAGGAGAGUGACUUUAGUUAUCCUACCGACUGCACCAAAACUGUAGGAGCCUAGAGAAAAACUUUUCUGCAUUCUGAGUUCACAGAAAAUCAACUGACAAAAGCCAGGUUAGUAAGAAAAAAGGCAUACAGAUUUAUUCAUGCACACAGGGAGAACCAGAGUGAUGACCCCAACCUCCCAAUGGGGUUCGGAAGCUUAUAUACCAUCUUGAGGUUACAGAAAGAACAUGGGCUCAAAGUAUGGCCACAGUUUAUGGUGGAAAAUCAGGUGACCAGUGGCAAGACCGGUUACAGGAGGGAGAGCAGAGGAGGCCUGGCUAGCAAAGGUGGCCUUGUUCUACAGAUGAAACCUCACAGGUAGCAGCCCUGAGAGAGAACAGAUGGUGAAUGUUCCCUUCAGGCCUUUAAAGGCGUCAGACUGUUACUCUUCCCAGAUCAGGCAAGGAGGGCCUCAGAGGAGGCCUGGCCGCAUCAGUGUAGAUUCUCUCCACAGAUGCAAAUCUCCCCCACAAAAGACAGCUUUUCAGCUAUUCUUCUAUUUCCAGUCCUUCUGAGUAACUGUCUUGAACCGUGUCAAGGAAAUAUAUUUGGAGGUGACAUAUUGUGUUUUCCUUCAAGAUCAAAAAGGUUAAGUCCAAGGCUGCCCAACGAGGGAGCGAGGACCCAAUCACGUUGUCCUCAGAUGAGUUUUUCCCCAGCAGCGUAACCCUGCAACAGGCCAGACUGGACCCCAGACACACAUUCCACACCACACCACGCCUCCACCACCACACGCACACAACAGACACACCCUAAACACCAGACACACACACACACCUCAACCACCGCAAACACACAUACGCCACACCUCUAACACCACACACACCCAACACCACACACAUACGUGCCUCAAACACUACACACACCUCAACCACCAUACACCUCAACCACACACACCCCUCAAACACCAAACACACCCCUCAACCACACACACACACCCCUCAAACACCACACACCCACCUCAAACACCACACACACAUAUCCCUCAAACACUACAAAAACACACACACACACCUCAAACACCACACAUGCACACACACCUGAAACACCACACACCUGCCUCAAACACUCCACACACACCACACACAGACACGUACACAGCCCCCCGCACCCAGCCACAGCUUACACGCACACAGACACGCGUACGCAGGAGAAAGGGUGUCAAAGCUUUUGCUAGUCGUGAAGGAAGAGCCCGCAGUCCAUGGGGCUGCACGGUUUUCCCUGCCAUUUGCUCAUUCACCGGGUGCCCAUAACGCUCCGCGCUCAGGUCUCUUACAGGAGGGCCCGAGUCUCCCAGUACCGGAGGUCUGGGGGCGCACGAGCCGCUCCUCCUCUGGAGAAGCUCCGGACCGAGAGGACACCGGACACUGCGCAGCGCCGAGCCCCGCGCGCAGCCCGGGACGCCUCAGCCAGGGCCGACCGCGCAGAGGAAGCUCCCAGAGCCCGUUUCAAGACCGCAGCCAACAGCCUCAGGCGCACACGGCGGCCUCGGAGCGAGCACGC
RNAcentral lists this long non-coding RNA (11956 nucleotides) under Homo sapiens (human). Its description in RNAcentral is "HSALNT0406769". Lineage: Eukaryota; Metazoa; Chordata; Mammalia; Primates; Hominidae. The record is from RNAcentral.